CCCAUGGGCACCUGACCCGACCCGAUUUUUUUGGGUGAAAACCCGAGUUAAUGGGUUCGGGUUCGGGUUUUACCCGAUUGCUGAAAGUGUUUUCGGGUUCGGGUUUGGGUUUGGCUAAACCCGCACCCGAACCCUACCCGAACCCGGUUUGUAUAAGUGAAAUUCCAGAUAUAUCCUUAGAUAUAUAUAUGUUAUUAGAAUAGAAUUAGGGUUUGAGGUCACAGCUUUCUUCUCCACUUUCAGAUCACGGCUUUCUUCUCCUCUUCCAGUUCUGCUCUGUUUCCUUCUUCCGCCCACGGAGCUGCCAUUCUCCUCUUCCAGUCUUGCUCCGUCUCCUUCUUCCGUCCACGGAGCUGUUGUUCUCCUCUUCCAGGCCCGCUCCGUCUCCUUCUUCCGUCCACGGAGCCACUGUCCAAGCGUCCACGGAGCCGCCGUCACCUCAGCUUCAGAUCGAAGCGCAACCGCCACCAUUAUUGAGCUGAAAUAAUAGAUGGUUUGAGUUACCGUUUUGAUGAUUAAUAGCUACUGCAUCUAUGCUUUAAUGCAUAACACAUUAACACGGUUGAUGUUGAAGAUUGUGGACUUUAGAUAAUUGGAUUGAGCUAUUGAGAACUGUUGUUUUAAUUUGGAAGAGGGUGUUGUUGAAGAUUGUAGUUUUAAUUGUAUGCUUUGAGUUUUUCCUUGUGUUGGAUUUAUGCUUGAUGUUGAAGACUUUGAAUUGUUGAGUUUAUCUCACUUUUAUUUUACUUGUGGUUUUCAAAUGUAAUUGGGAAGUUUAAGGACCCAUGAAUUUUGUAAUUGAGAAGAUUAAGACUGUUGUUGUCUUUUUGAUUGCUUAUAAUACUAUGAUUGAGGCACUUGCUAAGGGCCAUCAUGCUCUUCAAAAAAAUGGUGGAGAAUAAUUGUCAGGCUAAUGAAUUUACAUACAAUGUGCUUUUUCUGAUUUUGAUUGUAAAAAGCAAUGAAAUUUGUUAAGAAAGUAAU
Molecule: long non-coding RNA, 984 nt
Organism: Lotus japonicus
Lineage: Eukaryota; Viridiplantae; Streptophyta; Magnoliopsida; Fabales; Fabaceae
Exons: 4
Source: RefSeq, a predicted model, not a curated record